Molecule: long non-coding RNA, 3647 nt
Organism: Boleophthalmus pectinirostris (great blue-spotted mudskipper)
Lineage: Eukaryota; Metazoa; Chordata; Actinopteri; Gobiiformes; Gobiidae
Exons: 3
Source: RefSeq, a predicted model, not a curated record
ACAGAUAAAGUAAGAAGAAAUAGAUCAGCAGCUUGAGUUUCUCUCCCCUGACUGAGAGCAGCUCCAGCCUUCACAUGGGUGAACAGAUGUGUGAGGGGCUGGAGUGGCCCCGGCUGCAAGUGGGAAAGCCCUGAGAGUGGUCACUGCCCUGGUGUCAGAGCGACCCAUAACAGCCCACAGUGCUGCACAGACUUGUCCCACCGCUUCUCUCAAAGAGGCAUUGCUCUUUUGAACCAGUGCCAAUGGAGGCUGGCCUAAGCUUUUGCAGCUGAACUGUUAUAAACCGUGUGUUUGUGAGUGAGCACAGAAACUUUCCUCCGGCAUUGUUUUCAUCGUAUCUCAGAGGUCCAUAUGAAUGAAGUCUUUUAGACAAGAAGAGCUACAGGAGCAAGCAAAGUACGCUUGUGGCAAGGAUUUAUAUGCGAGAAGACUAUUGCAGAAAAAGAAGAACUGACGUCACACAUAGGGCUGCCUCGGAUAGUGCCUGAGGAAACACACUGAGUUGGUGGCGCCAAACGGUUUGCACCUUGUUUUCAAUCAAUAUCUGGGACUGUUGAGGAGCUUUGUUUUGCACAAAUAGUUUGCAAGGAGACUUCUCACUCAGUUGCUCUGUCUGACGCAUUUAGUUACACAUGCUGUAUUGAGGAAAACAAUCGAGAUAGUUCAUUGACUCUGUUAUGUAUGCUACAAAUAUUUCCCCUUGUUUAGUGCAACCACAACCACAGCAGUUGCAGUCUCUAUAUAGCAACAGCUCAACACAAAAACUCAGGCAGGUGGAGAACGGCUAAAGACGCCGAGGGUGACUACGGAAAAUGGGAACUGUGAGGCAUGUACUACCUGGGACUGAUGCCAAAUGCUGACAAAAGGCUUCACAGCACAGAUCUGAGAGGAGCCUUUACUCAUGUGCUGUGCAAUGCUCAAGGAACUGUUGGGCAAACUCAAGAUAAAUCUGUCAAACUUGUUACAGGGCACUUUGUACAGCGAAAGAGAAAGAUGUGGAAGUGCCUUCUUGGGUCGUCUGUAACCCGUCUUUUUGCCCGCUGAAACCAUGGCCUCAUUUUGCAUAGGUGACCAGUAUCCGGAUCUGUUUUAAAUACAUGUGUCCAGACUCUGCUUGGCACAAAGACAAUGUCCAUUCCCUGGCACCAAAUGCUGGAAUAAGAUGCAACCUUAGGCCACACAAUGGCCCCCGAUUUCUGCUGAUCAACAUGGACCUCUGCCAACAUGUCAUGAGUAUAUUUGUUUGUUUGUUUCGCUUCUUGGCGCAUAGACAUUCCCUCAUAAUUUCUUUGAUUUGACAUUUCACUACUGGCUAUGCUUACAACAUAUCAGGCUGAAAGCAUGAUUAAAAUGUCUCAUCAGCUGAAUGUGGGCUGAAGUGAAAUACUUUGCUUUUUUAUGCAAUGUGUUAAUUAACUGAUAUAUUCAAAUUGAAAUGCUAGUGUUUUUACAACAAAAGCCUCAUAAUAAUAUAAUAAUAAAAGAGAUCAAGAGUGCAUAUGCCAAUUAAAUUUAUCUGCACUUGGAUCUGGCUCAAAGACUAAGUAGCAUGCCCCUCAGCUGGAUUGGGGUUGAUACCAUUUACUGUCUAAUUAUUUCAACAUCUCAAUCAGAGCUGUGACUCUCUGGUGCCCUCUUCAUGUAACUCCACUGAGCUUGGCCUGACACCACAGGACCACACUAUGCCAAAACAUUUCAAUCACGGCCGACAUUAAUUAGGCCAAAGAGGAAUUCAAAAUGGUAAUGAACUGCCCUGCAUCUUUUCAGCUACCACGGUUCACAUGCUAAUUUAUGCAAAGAACCCAAACUUGACCACAGCACUGUCUGUGCUCACUCAGCUCUACCAGUCGUUGGCUUCUGCGCCCAGACAGUGCCGCUUGUUCCAGACUGUAGCUGGCAUCAUAAACAUGCUACUCCUGCCAAUGGACUUGAAGUGGCUUUCACACUAAACAAAGAUGGCACUUUCCUCCUCUCAGCUUUUUACAGCAUAUAGACUAAAACCCAGACACAUUCAUCUAUAAUCCGCACUCCAGAGAUUUUACACUUUACAGCUGUAGCAUAUGGAUACAGAGAAAACAACAGAACACAAAUGUUAGAAUGUGGUGUCUGCUAAAGGGGAGGUAGAUCAGAUGAUCAUCAUCAUUGUGUUAAGACAUGAAACUGAAGGAAUUGGUCAGGCAACUCAUAUUUUUAAUUUGACUCAUCUUUGAAGUUCAAGCCUGGUCACUUUUGCCACAUAUCUGUACCUCAUUCUCUAAAACAGAAAGACUUACAAGACAAGCUGCAUUUCUAAGUCAGACCAAAGGGUGGGCAUCAUGAUGACCUGCCAAUCUGGAGCUCUCAUUAUUUAAUAAUUCAGUACUCUGCUGUUUAGUACAUCUCUAUACUAAAACACUUUGCCUUUCCCCACUCACUCACUUCUGUGUCUAGUUAUCCUCUGAAUGAGGUGCAUUUAACAGUUUAAGUAGCAGAUCUAUAUUGCUAGUGAUAUUAAAGUGGUGAUACUGUGUAGAGCAAGACAACUAAGAACAGAAUGUAAAAGUAUAGAGACAUGAUUUGGAUAAAAAUAAAAACUGCAAUGAGGUGGAUUUAACAAAUCACAGUUAGGUUCAUACUGGAACAAGAAUUAUGAAAAGUUAUUAUUUUUUGCCCACAGGUGGACACACGUUACUCUCCUGACUGCUUUACUGCUGUCCUUAAGGCUGAGGUAGUAGAUUGAAUAGUUGUGGGGAUCGUGUCCUCCCUCUGAGUUAACUAUACAAUCUACUGUCUUCCCUAAAGAGACGGAUUCAACCACAGAUGGAGAGCUGUGAAGAUGAAAUAAGUUUAACAGAAAUGAUUUUGAGCACUAUUAAUGCAGCCUGGAGUUGAGCCUAGCAAGGUGAGGUAGUAGGUUGUAUAGUUUGUAGGAUAAGGUUUGUCCUACUCAGGCGAUAACUAUACAGUCUAUUACCUUCCUUGAAAGGAACAAUGAGUGUCCGGAGAGCUCACUUUAAAUAGUGCCUUUAUGCCAUCCUGUGGUCACUGACGAGCAUAACAUGGCUUUUUUUUUUCUAUUUUAUCAUAAGUAUUUAUCAUGUAUUAUCAGUCUUUUUUUUCACCAAAUGCUUUAUCAUUACUGCAAUGCACAUUAUUAUUAUUUAUUAUUAUUAUUAUUAUUGUUGUUGUUGUUAUAUAAUAAUAAUAAUAAUAACAAUAAUAAUAAUAAUAAUAAUAAUAUAAUAAUAUAUUUUCAGAUGUAAAACUGUAGACUUGUAAUUGAAUAAUUGUAAUUAGAACUUUGUGCCAUUGAAAAGAGCAGAGUUUAUUAUUUCAGAGUACAGACUGAACAUGAGAAAUGUCAUAAUAUUUGUGUGGUUAACACUGUAAAAUGUAGUACAUACUGCUCUUUACAUGAAACAUAAAACUGAACUGAGACAUUACACAGGUGAAAUGAAACUACACACUUCAGUGGCAUGCCCCCGAAAUAAAUCUUGAGUGUGAUGUGAAAUUACAAUGUUGUACUGUUAUUGAUGGGUCUGUCUGUUUAAAAGAUGUUCAACUGUGAAAACAUGUUGUCAAGCAAGGACAAUCGAGUAAAUAAUAUAUGAAAAAAACUGUACAAUACAUCUACCAGGCAAAUGAAUAUAAAGUGGAAGAUGCAUUUA